GCAAAGGUUCAAGUUCUCCUUUCCGAUACAGCUUAAUAGUAUCUGUAACCAAAGAAAAAAAACCACAACAGUAAUUCAACUCCUCCGACAAGUUUUUUCAUGUUCCAAUAAUUAUGAAUGUUAUUCAAGUAUUCAACAGUAGUUGGAGUUAAUUGAGAUAUUGCAAAGAUUGUCUAGAGAAUUGAACUAGAAAAGGUACUCUGUUCAUUAGCUAUAAAGCUUUAUCUUCAUUAAUUCAGCACAACUUCUGUAGGUACGACAUACAAUACCAACCACUCAUUUAUUUUACAUUAAUCCACAAGAGCCUGUUGCUAACGGUCUACAAACAGCCUCGCAAGAUACUUAAUAACUAGAACUCUUCACAAGGCCGACAAUGUCGUAAUAUGUUAUAAACUUGGGAAUCAAGUCAAAUCAUUAUUUUCAAGGAAAAAACAUAGAAUAGCAAUACUUUGUUUCUGCAAAUGCACGGUGAAAGCAUAAGACUGAUCAGAGAAUGUACCUGUACAACCACCAAUGUGUUUGGCCCCUGGUCAUAGAGAAAAACACAUUUAUUACAAGUCCUUCAUAUAAACUAAGCAAUAAAAAUCAGCAACAAAUGCCAACGGAAUUUGAAAACAGGCACUUUCUUCGUUAAGAGGCAAUAUGCGUAUUGUCAAACUAUUCAAGCAGUUGUCUCUAUUUUUAUUUUUGUUUAGGCUUUGUAAAUUCGAAGGAGUUCUUUAUAUUUUCCUCAUGAUAUUAAACCAAGGUCUAUAAACUGUCUUAUCAUACAUACUGCCUCUUAAAGAUGAAAUAUUUCCAAAUACUUAUGGUGCUCUCCGCGAAGACGGCUAUUAUUUAUGAAAAUUUCACACAUAAAGAAGUUUGAGUUCAUUUGAGUCUGGCCUUAAGAAACUCUACAAUUAAAAUCUGGUCUUCGUUGUAUAGUGUCUUUCUUAAAUGGGAAGUAGAUGCUUAUAGGACAGUGCAAUUAACGCCGAAAUCUCUCUCUAAACAGAAAAAAGAUUCAGCAUUCUCCAAGGGACUUCACACUUGACCCAAUUCGGCUCUACUUAAUUGAGUGAUUGCAAAACCAUUUUUGAAGAAGACUUGAGGAUGGAAUACUAAAUAAAGCCCAUCAAGGUCUAAGAUUCAUCUUUACCAGACCCUUCUCUUUCCUUUCCUCUUAUCCUAAACCUCCCUUCUCCUUCACAUUACUAUGAGAAUUUGUGAACUCAAACCACCCCCAAAAACGACCUCAAUGGCCGACGAUGGAAGAAAACUUACUGGAGAUGGAGAGGAGUCUGAGUGUCGACGAUGGCCGCUUAUUGCCGUCGUCGACGACGAUGGCCGCUUGGAUUGAGUGCCGACGACGCCAGUGAAGCGGGGAUUUGCCCUAGAAGCAGUGAGGCGGAGUGUUUAAGGUUUAUG
This 1410-nucleotide long non-coding RNA is filed under the name Nicotiana tabacum (common tobacco). RNAcentral describes it as "long non-coding RNA (NTAB_LNC000991)". The record is from RNAcentral. Lineage: Eukaryota; Viridiplantae; Streptophyta; Magnoliopsida; Solanales; Solanaceae.